Myotis myotis is the source of this 608-nucleotide long non-coding RNA. RefSeq lists it as uncharacterized. The record is from RefSeq and is a predicted model, not a curated record. The transcript has 7 exons. Lineage: Eukaryota; Metazoa; Chordata; Mammalia; Chiroptera; Vespertilionidae.
GCCCCGACUAGAGCGGGACUGCGGCGGGAUGGUGGAGCAGUUCCUUUUCAGAAACUUAAUAAAUCAUUUUAAGAGAGGAAAGGAAGAAAUAAAGAAGGAAGGAUAAGAAGGCACCGUAUAUGGAGAAAUUAUUAUUGUCACACCCCAAGCCUGCAGUGAGGUCAACUGCUGGAUCAAUAACAACUUUGCUCCAUCAGAUAAUGAAUCUAAAUGAGAAUUGCCACUGUUAAUCAGGAACUGACUCUAUUGUAUGGAAGAUGACACUUGAGCAAGGAGACUGUUGGACAGCCAGAGUCUGAGAGGAAAUACUCAGUUGUACAGGAACUGUAUGCUUAGAAUUUAAUAGAGCCUGGAUACACCUGGAAAGAUUGUCAGUCAUCACAGGAGGAAUCACCAGAAGACAAAGAAUAAAUGGUCACAGAGAGAGAAAGAAAGCCAGCAUAAUCCAGAAACCCCGGAGAAGAAGGAAACCAAGGGAGGAAGAAAGGAGAAACAGAGUCAAAUAUGAGACAAAGGGCAACGUCAAAAUCAGAAAAGGUUGUGCCUGGUGCUGGUUUAUCAUUUUGCUGCUGACACCCAGAACAUUGCAGAUGCUUCUGCUCAGGUGC